Molecule: ribosomal RNA, 403 nt
Filed under: uncultured bacterium
Lineage: Bacteria
Description: partial 16S ribosomal RNA
Rfam family: Bacterial small subunit ribosomal RNA
Source: RNAcentral
AUUGAACGCUGGCGGCAGGCCUAACACAUGCAAGUCGAGCGAGCGGCGGACGGGUGAGUAAUGUAUGGGGACUGCCCGAUAGAGGGGGAUAACUACUGGAAACGGUGGCUAAUACCGCAUACUAUCGGAUAACCCAUAUGGGAUUAGCUAGUAGGUGGGGUAAAGGCUCACCUAGGCGACGAUCUCUAGCUGGUCUGAGAGGAUGAUCAGCCACACCGCGACUGAGACACGGCCCAGCUUCUUCGGGAGUCAGCAGUGGGGAAUUGUGCACAAUGGGGGCUAGCCUGAUGCAGCCAUGCCGCGUGUAUGAAGAAGGCCUUAGGGUUGUAAAGUACGUUCAGCGGGGAGGCGUUACCCGCAGAAGGAGCACCGGGUAACUCCGUGCCAGCAGCCGCGGUAAUUC